CGAACCCUGAGAAGACUAGUGUUAGCAUGUGGAGCCCCAGAAGAGGACAGAGCACUCUACAGGAACAGCUGGCUCUCAGCGUGUCUGAGUGACGUGAGUGAAAAGAAAAUACGCAGUACGUUAAACCGCUGGGAUGUGGUGAGGGCUAGAUACUUCAUACUUCUUAUCUUGGCUAAUACAAUGAUCUCAAAGGGUUGGGGUUAAGAGUAAAUAAAGAUAAUAUUUAAUGCA
Molecule: long non-coding RNA, 231 nt
Filed under: Felis catus (domestic cat)
Lineage: Eukaryota; Metazoa; Chordata; Mammalia; Carnivora; Felidae
Description: lncRNA (ENSFCAG00000050468.1)
Source: RNAcentral